RNAcentral lists this unclassified non-coding RNA (1828 nucleotides) under Hevea brasiliensis (rubber tree). The record is from RNAcentral. Lineage: Eukaryota; Viridiplantae; Streptophyta; Magnoliopsida; Malpighiales; Euphorbiaceae.
AAAAAAAGUAUACUGCUUUCUUGGAGGCUGCAGUAUGUUGAGGAAGAUUCGAAACGAACUACUUUCCUUUCUUUAGAUCUCUCGAGUCUUGACUUGCCAUCGAGGAUUGCCAUUUAGAUUUUGAAGCUUCAAUUGGAAAAUGGUUUGCACUUAGCUAUCCUCCAUAUUACUCUUUUGGGGGAACUACACUGGGGAUUUGAUGAAAGGUGUUUCUAGUAGCUUACGUGCAGCUUUCUCCUCCUGUGUACAACAAGUUCGAAAUUAUGAUUACCAUCACUAUCUCUGCCUCCUCGAGCUUCCCCCUAACAUGCGAAAGGCUGCAUUUGCCCUUCGUGCCUUGAACGUUGAAACUGCCAGAGCCAUGGAUGUUGCUUCAGAUCCCAGGAUUGGUCUUAUGCGCCUCCUCUGGUGGCAAGAAACUAUAGAUAAGAUUUAUUCCAACAAGUUGGUUGAGCACCCAACAGCGCAGGCCCUCUCAUCGGUGAUAUCUGAAAAUAGAAUUACUAAGGGUUGGUUGAAACGGUCUGUUGAAGCACGCAUCAAUGAUGCAAGGAGGGGUGUUACUGACAUCCCAGAAACUUUAGAAGAGUUGGAAAAAUAUGCCGAAGACACUGUAUCAACAAUGCUAUACAUGACACUUCAAGCUGGUGGCAUCAGGUCCACUGCAGCUGACCAUGCAGCAUCUCAUGUUGGUAAGGCAAGUGGCCUUCUAUUGCUACUUAGGUCAAUUCCAUAUCAUGCUAGUCGCAACCGACACUUUUCAUAUAUACCAACUGAUGUGGCAGCAAAACAUGGGUUAUUAGCCAAAGAUGGCGGUCGAUCAGAAGUCCACGUGGAUUCACGUGAGGACUUAUGUGAUGCUGUCUUUGAGAUGGCAUCAGUAGCUAAUGCCCAUUUGCAGAAGGCUCGUGCAUUGGCUGGAACAGUUCCUGCUGAGGCUCGCCCAGUGCUUUUGCCAGCUGUUCCUGCCCAGGUUCUCCUGGACUCCCUGAGUAGGGUGCAGUUUGACGUGUUUGAUCCAAGAUUAGAACGAGGAGUUCUGGGCAUUCCACCUUUGUGGUACCAAUUGAAAUUAAAGUGGUCGUCAUGGAGGGGGGAAUACUGAUAACUUAGUAAUCCAUUCAACGGGAAAGUUGGUGGGGUGGACAAUGCUAGAGAAUUGUCAUACUUUUGGUUCCUUUACAAUAAGGGGAUUGUCUUUCACAAGAAACAUGGUCCUAUCCUCCGCUAGUGCACGUUUCGUUUUUGGAAUUUCCUUGAUAAUGGCAUUGUCUGGUUUUGAAACUCCGCAUAUUUGGCACAUGAAAUUUGUUGGGUAGUUGGUAUAGGAUUUUGCAAAAUGCACAGGCUGGGGCUGGGCUGGGCUGGGCUGAACAUCAUUAUUACCGGAAGAUUGGAGGCUUUUGUUACUUCACAGUUCACACGAUCGAGAUGCUUCUUCACAGUUUGCGUUCCAGUUAUAGCAAAUUUCGUCUUUUUCCUUCCGGUGUGGCUUUAAAUGAGAACGAGUUCGAGAAGUCGAGAACCGUUGCAAACAUGGGACCGAGGAGCUCGUGGCUCGCUUAACUUAAAGCUAGGUUCAAAACUCCAAAACACAGAACCUUGUUAGGCCCAAAGCCCCAUGACUCCAUCACUAUGGUUUACAGGCCCAGGCGAAGACCCCAACAGUAGAAGCGAAGAUCCAUUGCAAUCGAGUUGUAACCCGGCCUUACAACCAGGGCCAAGCCAGAAAAUAAUAAAAAACUCAACCAUGUACUCGCAUCGCACGUGUGCGGAUAAAAUAUUAAAUUACGUAUAUAAAACUUUUUUAUCGAUUAAAAAAUUAUAA